GCCCCGGUAGCUCAGUGGAUAGAGCGACGGUUUCCUAAACCGCAGGUCGCGAGUUCGACUCUCGCCCGGGGCACCA
This 76-nucleotide transfer RNA is filed under the name Chloroflexota bacterium. RNAcentral describes it as "Chloroflexi bacterium tRNA-Arg". It matches the Rfam family "tRNA". From Rfam's summary of the family: Transfer RNA (tRNA) molecules are approximately 80 nucleotides in length. Their secondary structure includes four short double-helical elements and three loops (D, anti-codon, and T loops). The record is from RNAcentral. Lineage: Bacteria; Bacillati; Chloroflexota.